This 409-nucleotide ribosomal RNA is filed under the name Actinomycetes bacterium. RNAcentral's name for it is "Actinobacteria bacterium partial 16S ribosomal RNA". It matches the Rfam family "Bacterial small subunit ribosomal RNA", at positions 355 to 776 of the family's 1533-position model. Lineage: Bacteria; Bacillati; Actinomycetota; Actinomycetes. The record is from RNAcentral.
UGGGGAAUAUUGCACAAUGGGCGGAAGCCUGAUGCAGCGACGCCGCGUGGGGGAUGAAGGCCUUCGGGUUGUAAACUCCUUUCGACAGGGACGAAGCUUUUGUGACGGUACCUGUAUAAGAAGCACCGGCUAACUACGUGCCAGCAGCCGCGGUAAUACGUAGGGUGCGAGCGUUGUCCGGAAUUACUGGGCGUAAAGAGCUCGUAGGUGGUUUGUCGCGUCGUCUGUGAAAUUCCGGGGCUUAACUCCGGGCGUGCAGGCGAUACGGGCUGACUUGAGUGCUGUAGGGGAGACUGGAAUUCCUGGUGUAGCGAUGAAAUGCGCAGAUAUCAGGAGGAACACCGAUGGCGAAGGCAGGUCUCUGGGCAGUAACUGACGCUGAGGAGCGAAAGCAUGGGUAGCGAACAGG